UCUUCUAUAUUCUGCCUUUUGCUGGACAUUCUUACCAGUUGUGGCUUUGUGUGUCUUGCCACAUCUUCCAGAGCUUUUCCAAGUUUGUCUCUAUGACAGUUCUCAGGAUACUGAGGGCUAUGAAAUCACCCUGUUUGGCUGUUUGAACUCUGAAGGGACAGAGACUCUGAACUGAAGCCUGAGAUCCCCACAGGCUGCCUCCUGCGUCUGCCCUGAAAUACCAAUUGACAGAUCUCUACAACUCUGUCACUCUGAGGAUUUAGAUGGGAAGAAGACCUCUACUGAAGGAUCUGGAUUAAGAGGAUUCAGCGCUAUCAUGAAGGACAAGGAAGUCUGAAUGGCACGUGCACCUUCGGAGUGGGAUCCUGACAGAGAAACUACUUCUGAAGAAAAGAGAAACUUCCCCAUGUGGCUGUACAUCAUUCAGUGUCAUGAAGAAUCAUCCCUUUCUUGAAGACUGACCCUUAUA
Terrapene triunguis (Three-toed box turtle) is the source of this 469-nucleotide long non-coding RNA. RefSeq lists it as uncharacterized. NCBI's taxonomy places the organism in Eukaryota, Metazoa, Chordata, Testudines, Emydidae. The record is from RefSeq and is a predicted model, not a curated record. The transcript has 3 exons.